AUUAAGCCGAUGGAUAAAUUCAGCCAAGUUCCAGGAGAUACAUACAAUAAUCACGCUAUACGCUAGCAAUAAUCUGAAAGUGAAGUAAACAAUUGCAUUUAUGAUAUCAGCAGAAAGGUUAAAUGACUUAGGAAUAAAUGUAAUCAAGGUUGUGCAAGUCUUUUAUAUUGAAUAUUACUAAAUAUUGCUGAAAUUAUAUAAAGGAGACCUAACUGAGCAUAUAGAUAUCCCAUGUUCAUGGAAUGGAAGACUUGAUCUUCUUGGAACUACGCAAAUUGAUCUGUAGAUUCAAUGCUAUUCUUAUCAGAAUCUCAAAUGACAUUUUUUUUUCUCCAAAAGUGAAAAAUUCAAUCCUAAAAUUUGCAUGAAAUUGAAAGGAUCUUCAAAUUGGGGUGGUGUUGGGGGAAAUGGUGAGCUUGGAGAAAUUACAUUUCUUAACUUCAAAAACGUUUAACACCUAUAAAAAUACAGUAACCAAAAUGUGGCACUGGAAUAAACAUGCACCUGUAUAUCAGUAGUAUACAAUUGAAAAUUCAGAAACAACCCUAUAUAUCUGUGGUUAAUUGAUCUUCAACAUGGAUGCCAAGGCCAUUUAAAAGGAAAGCAUGGUAUUGUC
Molecule: long non-coding RNA, 616 nt
Filed under: Marmota monax (woodchuck)
Lineage: Eukaryota; Metazoa; Chordata; Mammalia; Rodentia; Sciuridae
Source: RNAcentral